GACGUGACUUCAGAGUUUGAUCCUGGCUCAGGAUGAACGCUGGCGGCGUGCCUAACACAUGCAAGUCGAGCGUGAUAUUCCGGAAUGAAACUUCGGUCGAAUGAAGGAAUUGAAAGCGGCGGACGGGUGAGUAACGCGUAGGCAACCUGCCCCUUACAGAGGGAUAGCCACUGGAAACGGUGAUUAAUACCUCAUAAUGCGAGAGUAUCCCAUGAUACUUUCGCCAAAGAUUUAUCGGUAAGGGAUGGGCCUGCGUCUGAUUAGCUAGUUGGUGAGGUAACGGCCCACCAAGGCAACGAUCAGUAGCCGACCUGAGAGGGUAAUCGGCCACAUUGGAACUGAGACACGGUCCAA
RNAcentral lists this ribosomal RNA (354 nucleotides) under uncultured bacterium. RNAcentral's name for it is "bacterial SSU rRNA". It matches the Rfam family "Bacterial small subunit ribosomal RNA", at positions 1 to 334 of the family's 1533-position model. The record is from RNAcentral.